AUGGUUAAGCAAGAAGACUUCAAUGCUUAUUUUGGUAGAGAAUUAAAACACAGUGCUGAUAUGCUUGAACACUUGGGUGAUUAUAUGGCUAAUGUCAAAGGUGAACUUAAACUUAUUAGUAAACAUGCUUCUAUGGUUACCACUCAAGUAGAACAAGUACUUAAAGCUCAAAAUGAUUUGCUCAAUGAAUUGAAUAGAAAGAAUAAGGCCUAUGCUGUUAGAGUGGCUACUAGAACUAGUAAAAUGACUCAGGAACCUUUGUAUCCUGAAGGCCACCCUAAGAGAAUUGAGCAAGAUUCUCAGAGAAAUAAUAUAGAUGAACCUAGUCCUUCUAAAAGGAAGAAAAAGAAAAAUGAUAGGACUUUGCACGCUUCUAGUGAACCUAUUGCUAAAACACCUGAGAAUCCAAAUGAUAUUUCUAUUUCUGAUGCUGAAACACAAUCUGGUAAUGAACCUGAAACUAGUGAUAAUUUUAAUGAUAAUGUUGAUGAUGAUGCUCAACCUAGCAAUGAUAAUGAUAUAGAAAUUGAAACUGUUGUUGAUCUUGAUAACCCACAAUCAAAGAAUCAACGUUAUGAUAAGAAAGACUUUGUUGCUAGGAAACAUGGUAAAGAAAGAGAACCAUGGGUUCAAAAACCUAUGCCUUUUCCUCCCAAACCAUCCAAGAAAUAG
RNAcentral lists this ribosomal RNA (672 nucleotides) under Triticum aestivum (bread wheat). RNAcentral describes it as "partial small subunit ribosomal RNA". Lineage: Eukaryota; Viridiplantae; Streptophyta; Magnoliopsida; Poales; Poaceae. The record is from RNAcentral.